UGUGUGCCUAAAUACAUGCAUGUCGAGCGAGGUUAGCAAAUAAACCUAGCGGGCGAAUGGGGUGAGUAACACGUGCUAAAUCUACCUUUUAGAUUGGAAUACCCAUUGGAAACAAUGGCUAAUGCCGGAUACGCAUGGAACCGCAUGGUCCGUGUGAAAGGCGCUGCAAGGCGCCACUAAAAAAGAUGAGGGGGGUGCGGAACAUUAGUUAGUUUGGUGAGGUAAUGGCCCACCAAGACUAUGAUGUUUUAGCCGGGUCGAGAGACUGAACGGCCCACCAUUGGGACUGAGAUACGGCCCAAACUCCUACGGGAGGCAGCAGUAGGGAAUAUUCCACAAUGAGCGAAAGCUUGAUGGAGCGACACAGCGUGCACGAUGAAGGUCUUCGGAUUGUAAAGUGCUGUUAUAAGGGAAGAACAUUUGCAAUAGGAAAUGAUUGCAGACUGACGGUACCUUGUCAGAAAGCGAUGGCUAACUAUGUGCCAGCAGCCGCGGUAAU
RNAcentral lists this ribosomal RNA (499 nucleotides) under uncultured Mycoplasma sp. RNAcentral describes it as "bacterial SSU rRNA". It matches the Rfam family "Bacterial small subunit ribosomal RNA", at positions 41 to 524 of the family's 1533-position model. The record is from RNAcentral. Lineage: Bacteria; Bacillati; Mycoplasmatota; Mollicutes; Mycoplasmatales; Mycoplasmataceae.